AUUGAACGCUGGCGGUAUGCCUUACACAUGCAAGUCGAACGGUAGAGGAGCAAUCCUUGAGAGUGGCGAACGGGUGAGUAAUACAUCGGAACGUGCCCAGUCGUGGGGGAUAACGUAGCGAAAGCUACGCUAAUACCGCAUACGACCUGAGGGUGAAAGCGGGGGACCUGAGAGGGCCUCGCGCGAUUGGAGCGGCCGAUGGCAGAUUAGGUAGUUGGUGGGGUAAAGGCCUACCAAGCCUGCGAUCUGUAGCUGGUCUGAGAGGACGACCAGCCACACUGGGACUGAGACACGGACCAGACUCCUACGGGAGGCAGCAGUGGGGAAUUUUGGACAAUGGGCGAAAGCCUGAUCCAGCCAUACCGCGUGUGGGAAGAAGGCCUUCGGGUUGUAAACCACUUUUGUCAGGGAAGAAAUGCUCUGGGCUAAUACCCUGGGGAGAUGACGGUACCUGAAGAAUAAGCACCGGCUAACUACGUGCCAGCAGCCGCCGUAA
RNAcentral lists this ribosomal RNA (496 nucleotides) under uncultured bacterium. RNAcentral describes it as "partial 16S ribosomal RNA". It matches the Rfam family "Bacterial small subunit ribosomal RNA", at positions 29 to 523 of the family's 1533-position model. The record is from RNAcentral.